GACGAACGCUGGCGGCGUGCCUAAUACAUGCAAGUUGAGCGAUGAAGCUUGGUGCUUGCACCAAUUUGAAGAGCAGCGAACGGGUGAGUAACGCGUGGGGAAUCUGCCUUUGAGCGGGGGACAACAUUUGGAAACGAAUGCUAAUACCGCAUAACAACUUUAAACUUAAGUUUUAAGUUUGAAAGAUGCAAUUGCAUCACUCAAAGAUGAUCCCGCGUUGUAUUAGCUAGUUGGUGAGGUAAAGGCUCACCAAGGCGAUGAUACAUAGCCGACCUGAGAGGGUGAUCGGCCACAUUGGGACUGAGACACGGCCCAAACUCCUACGGGAGGCAGCAGUAGGGAAUCUUCGGCAAUGGACGAAAGUCUGACCGAGCAACGCCGCGUGAGUGAAGAAGGUUUUCGGAUCGUAAAACUCUGUUGGUAGAGAAGAACGUUGGUGAGAGUGGAAAGCUCAUCAAGUGACGGUAACUACCCAGAAAGGGACGGCUAACUACGUG
Molecule: ribosomal RNA, 497 nt
Filed under: uncultured bacterium
Lineage: Bacteria
Description: partial 16S ribosomal RNA
Rfam family: Bacterial small subunit ribosomal RNA
Source: RNAcentral